AUAAAAAAGAGGAAAAAAGCAUUUUAACCGACUCCUAAGCGGUAUGUCGCGCGUUCGACUCACGCUCGGGGCACCA
RNAcentral lists this transfer RNA (76 nucleotides) under Acidithiobacillus thiooxidans. RNAcentral describes it as "tRNA-Arg". The record is from RNAcentral. Lineage: Bacteria; Pseudomonadati; Pseudomonadota; Acidithiobacillia; Acidithiobacillales; Acidithiobacillaceae. RNAcentral also lists the same sequence under 1 other name.